UUAAUUGUUAAGUUUUAAUCAUGGACCAAUUAAGUGGCGACACGUGUCAAGUUUUUAUUAUUUUAUAAUUUUCUUUAUAAACUCAACAUAAAACUCUCCCAUUCACUCUCUCAUUACCGUUCAAGCCAAAGAACAAAGGGGGAAAGAAUAGAAAAACUCUAAGGAGGAAAAAUUCAAGAGAAAUUCAUUGGAUUUCCGAAAAACGAAGCUAUCGAAGGUAAGAUUUCGCGAUUUAGCUUAAGAUCUACCUUAUCCAUGCUUUCUUUUUCAUUUUCUAUGGUUGAAACUCAAGUUUUCAUGAUGGAAGCAUGUUGGUCGAAUCAAGGGGGGAAGGUUUUGAUGAUGUUUUUUGAUAGAUUUCAGGCUAUCUAGGUGUUUUUAGUGUUUUGUGAUAUUCGAUAUGAAAAACAAGCAAGAAAAUAACAUGUUCUUCAUCAAACCCUAAUUGAUCGAAUUCUAUAGGGAAUAUUUUGAAGAUGAAUUUUGUCAUAUUUCAUGUUAUCUAGCUUGUAUUUGAUGAUUCGUGAUGUCGGAUAUCGAAAACGGUUAUCAAUAAGUAUAGUUCCUUUAGUAAACGACUUGAACGAUAAUGAGAAAAUUAUAGUAAAUGGACUUAGAAUUGAUUUCUAAUGAGGUAUACGAACUUAUUAGAGUACCAAAAGUGCAAUGAAUCUAUUUGGAGUUGAAUUGGAUAUUUUGGCUAAUUAAACAGUGUAUAGUACGAGUUAGGUCAAAUACCAUUUCAGUCCAACAAUAAUUGAACCUACGUAGAACACCAUCUUUAAGUGAUUAUUUGAACACUUCUCAUUCAAUUUCAUACAUUCAUAAAGAGCCUGAAAUAGUUUUAUAACAGUUUGGCACAAAUGUAUUGAAUUACUUGUUGUGCAUUAUGUAUAAGUGGUGAGCCCUUUGGUAAGGGUAAGGAUAUCGUCCUCGAGGACCAGGAGUAGGAGUACUCCCGUUAUUGUGAGUAAACACACGAUCAUCUUAACUAUCUAAAGUAGUUUAUACUCAUUUUUAUGAUUUUAAAGAAUAAUAAAUUUAAAUUGUAAACUAUUAUGUUUUAUAACUGAAGUGUUGGUUAAAUGAAAUGAGAUUCAUAAUUUGGUUUGAAAUUGAAUCCUGGUUUUGGAAAUUGAGUAAGUGGAGACUAUAUACUUGUGUUAUAUAUAUAUGUUUUGAUAUAUGGUUUGAAUUGAUGGCUUAUAACAAUGUGAUGGCAUGAUUGGCUGGAUUUGUGUUUGUAUGGAAUAUAUGAAUUGUUUUGUUUUACCUUGACAGGCUGGGUAAUAUCAUAUUAGCCAUGUCAUGCUGUUGAAAUUUUUGUUGAUUUGGUGGGGUAAGUGAUUAGCUUACUGCAGUGGGCGGGUUUUCAUGGACCAGCCUAUUAGAGGGGCACGGUAAACCCUAUCAUAUUUUACCUUAGUAGGAGAGGCGCAGAAGGUAUCUCCUAAGGUAGUUUAGAGUUCACUUCACGCCGAACCACCACGUGAGGGUGAAUGUCACAACCCGAUACUCCCCUCGAGCCCGUGACAACUGCCGUGACGUCCUGAUCGACACUCCUUACCUCGAAUGUCAACCGGAACCCCGCAAGGUUUUAAUAUUAGUUUAUCAUUUCCCCUGCAAGUAACUGUUGCCAAUUACCACGUUCUAAAAGAUUUUAAACUGUUUCCAACUUAAAACAAAUAAAAUAAUAAUUUUCGUCUCAUAGGGGUAUUUUGGUCAUUUUUUUCAAAAAUUUUGAAAUUGGCUAAAAUGUAAUAUACAAGUACAAAACACAUAAUUCAUAAUCAAAAUGAGUUUAAAAGUCUAAAAUUUUCAUUUAAAA
This 1828-nucleotide long non-coding RNA is filed under the name Theobroma cacao (cacao). Its description in RNAcentral is "long non-coding RNA (TCAC_LNC004481)". The record is from RNAcentral. Lineage: Eukaryota; Viridiplantae; Streptophyta; Magnoliopsida; Malvales; Malvaceae.